AACUUAAGCUAUCCAUAACCGGAGAAAAA
This 29-nucleotide ribosomal RNA is filed under the name Boeremia lilacis. Its description in RNAcentral is "partial 28S ribosomal RNA". The record is from RNAcentral. Lineage: Eukaryota; Fungi; Ascomycota; Dothideomycetes; Pleosporales; Didymellaceae.